CAAAAUUAUCCUAUUAAUUUAGUUUUCUCGAAUUUAGAAGAGCUAUUAGUUUAUAUAUUUUAUUGUAGAAUAAAUAUUUUUAAUAAACUGCUAGUAAUGAAACGUUAUUCGUUUCUAAAUAUAUCUAGUUUUUUAAGAAAUGAAUUUAAUUCAGCUUUUUAAUAAAAAUUUUCUUUAUUUUUAGUUAAUUUUUUUAAUAAGGUAAUAUUUAAAGGGAUGAGCUUUUAAAUAAAUUUUUAUAAGUUAGGUAUUUUAAUUAAGAUAAAUAGGAUUAGAAGUUUCCAUUUUUAAAAUAGUGUUAUAAUUGAUCUUAGUUUAAAUAUUAUUUUUAUUAACUUUAGGUUUUUUAUUAAAAUUUAAUUUUAAAUAAUAAAAGAUUAGGAAUAAUGAUAGAAUUAGUAUAAUUUAAUUUAAAAUUUAAUUAUUAAUUUAAAGGUAAAGCAAAGGAAUUCGGCAAAAAAUUUUUUCCACCUGUUUAUUAAAAAC
Molecule: ribosomal RNA, 486 nt
Filed under: Tragosoma harrisii
Lineage: Eukaryota; Metazoa; Arthropoda; Insecta; Coleoptera; Cerambycidae
Description: partial 16S ribosomal RNA
Source: RNAcentral